UAAGCGGAGGAAAAGAAACUAACAAGGAUUCCCCUAGUAACUGCGAGUGAAGCGGGAAAAGCUCAAAUUUAAAAUCUGGUGGUCUUUGGCCAUCCGAGUUGUAAUUUAGAGAAGCGUCUUCCGCGCUGGACCGUGCACAAGUCUCCUGGAAUGGAGCGUCAUAGAGGGUGAGAAUCCCGUCUUUGGCACGGAUGUACCAGGGCUUUUGUGAUGCGCUCUCGAAGAGUCGAGUUGUUUGGGAAUGCAGCUCAAAAUGGGUGGUGAACUCCAUCUAAAGCUAAAUAUUGGCGAGAGACCGAUAGCGAACAAGUACCGUGAGGGAAAGAUGAAAAGCACUUUGGAAAGAGAGUGAAACAGUACGUGAAAUUGUUGAAAGGGAAACGCUUGAAGUCAGUCGCGUCGACCGAGACUCAGCCUCGCCUUGGCUUGGUGUACUUCUCGGCUGACGGGUCAGUGUCAAUUUUGGGCCUCGGAUAAUGACAAGGGAAAGGUGGCACCUUUAUAGGUGUGUUAUAGUCUCCUGUCGGAUGCGAGGGUCGGGAUUGAGGAACUCAGCACGCGCCUUUUGGUGUCGGGGCUUCGGCCUACGCUACGUGCUUAGGAUGCUGGCAUAAUGGCUUUAAACGACC
RNAcentral lists this ribosomal RNA (629 nucleotides) under uncultured Russulaceae. Its description in RNAcentral is "LSU rRNA". It matches the Rfam family "Eukaryotic large subunit ribosomal RNA", at positions 47 to 649 of the family's 3401-position model. Lineage: Eukaryota; Fungi; Basidiomycota; Agaricomycetes; Russulales; Russulaceae. The record is from RNAcentral.